Molecule: transfer RNA, 84 nt
Filed under: Actinomycetota bacterium
Lineage: Bacteria; Bacillati; Actinomycetota
Description: tRNA-Leu
Rfam family: tRNA
About the family: Transfer RNA (tRNA) molecules are approximately 80 nucleotides in length. Their secondary structure includes four short double-helical elements and three loops (D, anti-codon, and T loops).
Source: RNAcentral
GCGGCGGUGGCGGAAUUGGUAGACGCUAUGUCCUCAAACGGCAUUGUCCUUCGGGGCGUGUGGGUUCGACUCCCACCCGCCGCA